GACGAACCGUGCGAACGUUGUUCGGAAUCACUGGGCUUAAAGGGCGCGUAGGCGGCUUGCCAAGUCCGGGGUGAAAGCCUCCAGCUUAACUGGAGAAGUGCCUUGGAUACUGGUGAGCUCGAGCGAGGCAGGGGUCGUGGGAACUUCCGGUGGAGCGGUGAAAUGCGUUGAUAUCGGAAGGAACGCCGGUGGCGAAAGCGCACGACUGGUCCUCUUCUGACGCUGAGGCGCGAAAGCCAGGGGAG
Molecule: ribosomal RNA, 245 nt
Filed under: uncultured bacterium
Lineage: Bacteria
Description: partial 16S ribosomal RNA
Rfam family: Bacterial small subunit ribosomal RNA
Source: RNAcentral